This 386-nucleotide ribosomal RNA is filed under the name Rickettsia hoogstraalii. RNAcentral describes it as "bacterial SSU rRNA". It matches the Rfam family "Bacterial small subunit ribosomal RNA", at positions 61 to 461 of the family's 1533-position model. The record is from RNAcentral. Lineage: Bacteria; Pseudomonadati; Pseudomonadota; Alphaproteobacteria; Rickettsiales; Rickettsiaceae.
GUCGGACGGACUAAUUGGAGCAAGCCCCAAUUAGUUAGUGGCAGACGGGUGAGUAACACGUGGGAAUCUGCCUAUCAGUACGGAAUAACUUUUAGAAAUAAAAGCUAAUACCGUAUAUUCUCUACGGAGGAAAGAUUUAUCGCUGAUAGAUGAGCCCGCGUCAGAUUAGGUAGUUGGUGAGGUAACGGCUCACCAAGCCGACGAUCUGUAGCUGGUCUGAGAGGAUGAUCAGCCACACUGGGACUGAGACACGGCCCAGACUCCUACGGGAGGCAGCAGUGGGGAAUAUUGGACAAUGGGCGAAAGCCUGAUCCAGCAAUACCGAGUGAGUGAUGAAGGCCUUAGGGUUGUAAAGCUCUUUUAGCAAGGAAGAUAAUGACGUUAAA